ACGUAGAUUUAUUUUCAGUUAUAAUACAAUUGUAAGCAUAUGAAAACGAAUAGCAUCCUUAAGAAAAACCUUGUUUUAAUUUGCAACUUAAAUACAAAUUAUAAGAAAUGUCUACAAGCAAAUAAUCGAAUUCCUUGAUUAAUCAACUUUAUCUCUAAUUGGAAAAUUCAUAUGAUGUCGUAGUGAUACAGAGCACAAAAUAUCACACUCCGUACAAAAGACUACGUGUUUUUGUUUUUUUAGGAAUUCCGGUAACUUGUACAUUUUUAUCUUACAGUUUUUAAAACUUAUAUAAUGGUUAGGGUUAUAAUGUUAUAAAAUUGAAAAUGAGACUUUUUAAUGUGUAUCGAAGUGUUUAGUCCGAGUAAGGCCACGCAAGCGGCAGUUACCGCGAGAGUCAAGAAAACAGCCAGGCCAAUAAAGCAAUAUAUCAAAACAGCCUGAGCCUCUGGGCAGCGUGAAAAUGAACAAUAAAUUACAAUUUACCGCGUCUGAACCAAUCCACGUACCUACUUUUCUACGCGUUGUAAAAUUUGGCGUAAAGUAAUUUCACACCAAAAAUAUUAUAUUGAAAAUCAUACUUCCUUCCUUUCAUACAAAAAUAAAACGUGAUAAACAGGAUAAAUGGUAUCAUGAUAAAUCUGAUCGUAUUUUGAUCAUUAAUAUAGUUGCAAAUGUAAUAUUUGCGAAUAUAAGUGUCUACAGAUAAAACAGUAACAAAAUUUAUAAUAAAAUAAUAAACCGUAAUUGUUUUUUAA
This is a long non-coding RNA of Nymphalis io (European peacock), 758 nucleotides long. RefSeq lists it as uncharacterized. The transcript has 3 exons. The record is from RefSeq and is a predicted model, not a curated record. Lineage: Eukaryota; Metazoa; Arthropoda; Insecta; Lepidoptera; Nymphalidae.